CAAUUGGGCUAGGGUUCUAGUUCCCUUUAAAUUAGUAGUUACUUGUUUUGUUUUCCUCUUCUUACUAGGUUUUGUUUUAAUUUCAUGUUUAGGUUUUUAAUUUCCUAGGUCAAUUAGGUUUUCAAUUUCUUAUGUCAAUUAGGUUUUCUAUACUCAGGCACCAGCUUUCCGCUCUCUCUUUCUCUCCACCGCAAGCCCAAACCCUCCCUCACCACUGCAAUUUAUCUUUUUCACCCGGCCAUGAUUGAAAAGAGGAUGUUAGUCAGAUCGAGCCAGGUCCAGCCCCAGCCCGAGAAAAGACCUCGACAAGAAGUCUGCUACACAGAGUCCAGCCGGGGCGAGACCCGGCCUGUACUGAUUCGAAAAAGGGUCUACAACACAGCACCGAUUCGAAAAAAGGUGUGCAGCACAGAGCCCAUCCGGGGCGUGCUCCCGCCCGAACCGGAUCGAGAGACGAUGCGGGUUAAGGAUGGUUAUUUCGCAUGGGAACCUUUGGACAGUGGUGAUGACAGUGACGAAGGUGACGACGUGCUAUGUAUGGUGGAGCAUGAGUAUUGUAGUUUAAUGGCUGCUAGCUAGAAAGGAAGAGAAGGAGAUAAGGAGACGUUUUAGAGAAUCCAAGCAAACCACUGCGGAAGCGCAAACCAGUAAUAAACCAAGAAAGGGGCAAUGGUUUUAUUUCUACAAAGGCGAUAUGAUUCAGCAUCAAUGUAGGGAGUGUUUGAAGCAGGAUCAUGCGGCUACAUUUUGCCCGUACAGGAAUUAUGUCCCAAAGGGCGCAAAAGUUGGCCCCGUCACCAUGGUGAUGAUGACUGGGUAGGAGUUAUUGUUCCUCGUAAGUGUUGGAAUUGUCGUGCUUCUGGUCAGCACAGCACUGAAGACUGCCCCAAAGAGCGUGUUAGAUGGGUAUUGUUUCCGUGGCAAGAGGAACACGAGCACAAGAGUGAAGACUGCCCCAAGAAAGAAGCCGCGUGAUAGGACACAGUGUUCAGACAUAUGACUAAAGUCUAUUGUUUAUGCAGCUUUGUUCGUGCUAUUGUUUGUGCAGCUGUUUUAGUUUGGUUGACAGCUUUUUCUAAAAUCUAUUUAAAUAAAAUCUGUUUACAUUAUCCUA
Molecule: long non-coding RNA, 1114 nt
Organism: Prunus dulcis (almond)
Lineage: Eukaryota; Viridiplantae; Streptophyta; Magnoliopsida; Rosales; Rosaceae
Exons: 3
Source: RefSeq, a predicted model, not a curated record